This 607-nucleotide ribosomal RNA is filed under the name uncultured bacterium. RNAcentral's name for it is "bacterial SSU rRNA". It matches the Rfam family "Bacterial small subunit ribosomal RNA", at positions 338 to 1415 of the family's 1533-position model. The record is from RNAcentral.
CCUACGGGAGGCAGCAGUGGGGAAUUUUCCGCAAUGGGCGAAAGCUUGACGGAGCAAUACCGCGUGAGGGAAGACUGCCUAUGGGUUGUAAACCUCUUUUUUCAGGGAGGAAUAAGAUGACGUGUACCUGAAGAAUAAGCAUCGGCUAACUCCGUGCCAGCAGCCGCGGUAAGACGGAGGAUGCAAGUGUUAUCCGGAAUCACUGGGCGUAAAGCGUCUGUAGGUGGUUUAAUAAGUCAACUGUUAAAUCUUGAGGCUCAACUUCAAAACCGCAGUCGAAACUAUUAGACUAGAGUAUAGUAGAGGUAAAGGGAAUUUCCAGUGGAGCGGUGAAAUGCGUAGAUAUUGGAAAGAACACCGAUGGCGAAAGCACUUUACUGGGCUAUUACUAACACUCAGAGACGAAAGCUAGGGUAGCAAAUGGGAUUAGAUACCCCAGUAGUCCUAGCCGUAAACUAUGGAUACUAGAUGUUGAACAGAUCGACCUGUGCAGUAUCAAAGCUAACGCGUUAAGUAUCCCGCCUGGGAAGUAUGCUCGCAAGAGUGAAACUCAAAANAGAUAGACGGACGUGAGACGUGCCGAACGGACGACGACGAGGGAGGUAGG